UUCCUUCUAUCAAUUUUCAGAGCCCCCACUUUCUUCCCUCUUUCAAUGAUUCAGGGAGCGGCGAAUGCAAUCGUCUUCACCAUCCGAGUCAACAAGUUCUUCUUCCCUCCAAGUCUCGCUAUCAUCAAGUUCUAACCAUGGUUGGCAUAAGGAAGACGGAAACCAAAGAUGGGCGGCAUUUCCGUUCGAACACAACAUCUGGUAUCGGGAUGCAACAGGUGAAUGAUAACCCUUAAAAUAAGUGUACUGCGAAAUGAAAACGGACAAUAAACUCUCAGGCUACUGAACCCAAAAAUUCCGGGAGGGAGUACUGCAGAGGUUGAGAACCAAAUAUUGUUCAACCUUGAUGAAUGCAGUAAACAAUCAUGAAUACCUCAACAACAAGUGCAUCACUGCAAGAUAUUACGAAGAGGCUUGCAUAUACAAUGAUAUUGAUGUUGAAAAAAUAUUGCAUAUUACCUAAAGAAGAAGUAAUGUAAUUGUUGGUUAAUGUUUUAGAGUUUCGAUAGAACCAUACUCUUGAAAUUAAUGCUACCGAUUUGAAUUAUGUUCU
Molecule: long non-coding RNA, 553 nt
Organism: Salvia hispanica
Lineage: Eukaryota; Viridiplantae; Streptophyta; Magnoliopsida; Lamiales; Lamiaceae
Source: RefSeq, a predicted model, not a curated record